This 506-nucleotide ribosomal RNA is filed under the name uncultured bacterium. RNAcentral's name for it is "partial 16S ribosomal RNA". It matches the Rfam family "Bacterial small subunit ribosomal RNA", at positions 28 to 507 of the family's 1533-position model. The record is from RNAcentral.
GACGAACGCUGGCGGCGUGCUUAACACAUGCAAGUCGAACGGUGAAGGGACUGGUUUUGCUGGUCCUGGAUGAGUGGCGAACGGGUGAGUAACACGUGAGUAACCUGCCCCCUUCUUCUGGAUAACCGCAUGAAAGUGUGGCUAAUACGGGAUAUUCUGGGUCUGUCGCAUGGUGGGCCUGGGAAAGAUUGCGCCUUUUUUGGUGUUUUUGGUGGGGGUUGGGCUCGCGGCCUAUCAGCUUGUUGGUGGAGUGAUGGCCUACCAAGGCGGUGACGGGUAGCCGGCCUGAGAGGGUGGACGGUCACACUGGGACUGAGACACGGCCCAGACUCCUACGGGAGGCAGCAGUGGGGAAUAUUGCACAAUGGGCGCAAGCCUGAUGCAGCGACGCCGCGUGAGGGAUGGAGGCCUUCGGGUUGUGAACCUCUUUCGCCAGUGAAGCAGGCCUGCCUCUUUUUGUGGGUGGGUUGACGGUAGCUGGAGAAGAAGCGCCGGCUAACUACGUG